This 253-nucleotide ribosomal RNA is filed under the name uncultured bacterium. RNAcentral's name for it is "partial 16S ribosomal RNA". It matches the Rfam family "Bacterial small subunit ribosomal RNA", at positions 524 to 776 of the family's 1533-position model. The record is from RNAcentral.
GACAGAGGGUGCAAACGUUGUUCGGAAUUACUGGGCGUAAAGCGCACGUAGGCGGCUUUCUAAGUCAGGGGUGAAAUCCUGGAGCUCAACUCCAGAACUGCCUUUGAUACUGGAGAGCUUGAGUCCGGAAGAGGUGAGUGGAACUCCGAGUGUAGAGGUGAAAUUCGUAGAUAUUCGGAAGAACACCAGUGGCGAAGGCGGCUCACUGGUCCGGUACUGACGCUGAGGUGCGAAAGCGUGGGGAGCAAACAGG